Molecule: ribosomal RNA, 374 nt
Filed under: uncultured bacterium
Lineage: Bacteria
Description: bacterial SSU rRNA
Rfam family: Bacterial small subunit ribosomal RNA
Source: RNAcentral
UACGAACUGUGCGAACGUUAUUCGGAAUCACUGGGCUUACAGGGUGCGUAGGCGGCUUUUCAGGUCAGGUGUGAAAGCCCCCGGCUCAACCGGGGAACUGCGCUUGAAACCGAAAGGCUCGAGUCAGCUAGAGGUACACGGAACUUCCAGUGGAGCGGUGAAAUGUGUUGAUAUUGGAAGGAACACCGGAGGCGAAAGCGGUGUACUGGGGCUGGUCUGACGCUGAGGCACGAAAGCCAGGGGAGCGAACGGGAUUAGAUACCCCGGUAGUCCUGGCCGUAAACGAUGAGUGCUGGACGGGAGGGGGUUCGCCCUCUCCGGUCGGAGCGAAAGCGGGAAGCACUCCGCCUGGGGAGUGUGGUCGCAAGGCUGAA